CGAAAGUUAGCGGGUUUAUUCUAAAAAUUUAGGAAUUUAGGCGGGCUUGCGAAAAAAUUUAAAGCGGGAUAUUUUUCCCGGCUGGACUUAAUGAAUAACUCAAAAAAUAGGAAACUCAGACAAACUCACACCACACAAACUCGCACAAACUCAAAACCCAAAUUUAUAGUACUCAAAACACAAAUUUGCAGAUUGACACACUCAAACUCAAAACAUGAAUCACACUCAAAACUUGAAGAUUGAAGAUAAAAGAAACUCGAAGAAGUCGGAGUACUCGAAGCUCGAAUUCAAAACUCAAAGAAGGUAAUUAGUUUGUUCUUCCCCCGAAAUAUUGUUUGGUCUUUAUUCUCUAUGCUUAUUUGUUCUUAUUUGUUCUUUGUUCUAAAUUGAAGAUUUUCAUUUUCUGAAAAUUAGGGUUCCUCAUUUUUUUUGUUUAAUUUGGGGGUUUUUCCCCUGAUUUUGGGGUUUUUUUCGGGUAAUCAAUUUGGGGGUUUGAUUUGUUGGGU
RNAcentral lists this long non-coding RNA (506 nucleotides) under Daucus carota (carrot). Its description in RNAcentral is "long non-coding RNA (DCAR_LNC003585)". Lineage: Eukaryota; Viridiplantae; Streptophyta; Magnoliopsida; Apiales; Apiaceae. The record is from RNAcentral.